Molecule: ribosomal RNA, 513 nt
Filed under: Tobrilus gracilis
Lineage: Eukaryota; Metazoa; Nematoda; Enoplea; Triplonchida; Tobrilidae
Also listed under: 1 other name
Description: eukaryotic LSU rRNA
Rfam family: Eukaryotic large subunit ribosomal RNA
Source: RNAcentral
UGAAACACGGACCAAGGAGUCUAACAUGUACGCAAGUCAUUGGGUUGCAACACCCACUGGCGCAAUGAAAGUGAAGGUCAAUUCAGUUGGCCGAGGUAGGAUCCCUAGUUUACUGGGGCGCACUACCGUCCCAUCGCAUCUGCUUGCCAGAGCGGUGGAGACAGAGCGUACACGUUGGGACCCGAAAGAUGGUGAACUAUGCCUGAGCAGGAUGAAGCCAGAGGAAACUCUGGUGGAGGUCCGUAGCGGUUCUGACGUGCAAAUCGAUCGUCAGACUUGGGUAUAGGGGCGAAAGACUAAUCGAACCAUCUAGUAGCUGGUUCCCUCCGAAGUUUCCCUCAGGAUAGCUGGCACUUAGAACGCAGUUUUACCCGGUAAAGCGAAUGAUUAGAGGCCUUGGGGACGAAACGACCUCAACCUAUUCUCAAACUUUAAAUGGGUAAGAAGUCUCGCUUGCCUGACCGAAGCUCAGACAUUGAAUGCGAGUGCCAAGUGGGCCAUUUUUGGUAAGCA